UACAGAGGUCUCGAGCGUUGUUCGGAUUCAUUGGGCGUAAAGGGUGCGUAGGUGGCGUGGUAAGUCUGGUGUGAAAUCCCGGGGCUCAACCCCGGAACUGCACUGGAUACUGCCAUGCUUGAGUACUGGAGAGGAGAUUGGAAUUUACGGUGUAGCAGUGAAAUGCGUAGAUAUCGUAAGGAAGACCAGUGGCGAAGGCGGCCUUCUGGACAGUGACUGACGCUGGAGACGCGAAAGCGUGGGGAGCAAACAGG
Molecule: ribosomal RNA, 254 nt
Filed under: uncultured bacterium
Lineage: Bacteria
Description: partial 16S ribosomal RNA
Rfam family: Bacterial small subunit ribosomal RNA
Source: RNAcentral